RNAcentral lists this ribosomal RNA (1017 nucleotides) under uncultured bacterium. RNAcentral's name for it is "bacterial SSU rRNA". It matches the Rfam family "Bacterial small subunit ribosomal RNA", at positions 355 to 1375 of the family's 1533-position model. The record is from RNAcentral.
UGAGGAAUAUUGGUCAAUGGACGAGAGUCUGAACCAGCCAAGUAGCGUGAAGGAUGACUGCCCUAUGGGUUGUAAACUUCUUUUAUACGGGAAUAAAGUGAGGCACGUGUGCCUUUUUGUAUGUACCGUAUGAAUAAGGAUCGGCUAACUCCGUGCCAGCAGCCGCGGUAAUACGGAGGAUCCGAGCGUUAUCCGGAUUUAUUGGGUUUAAAGGGAGCGUAGGCGGACGCUUAAGUCAGUUGUGAAAGUUUGCGGCUCAACCGUAAAAUUGCAGUUGAUACUGGGUGUCUUGAGUACAGUAGAGGCAGGCGGAAUUCGUGGUGUAGCGGUGAAAUGCUUAGAUAUCACGAAGAACUCCGAUUGCGAAGGCAGCUUGCUGGACUGUAACUGACGCUGAUGCUCGAAAGUGUGGGUAUCAAACAGGAUUAGAUACCCUGGUAGUCCACACAGUAAACGAUGAAUACUCGCUGUUUGCGAUAUACAGUAAGCGGCCAAGCGAAAGCGUUAAGUAUUCCACCUGGGGAGUACGCCGGCAACGGUGAAACUCAAAGGAAUUGACGGGGGCCCGCACAAGCGGAGGAACAUGUGGUUUAAUUCGAUGAUACGCGAGGAACCUUACCCGGGCUUGAAUUGCAACUGAAUGAUGUGGAGACAUGUCAGCCGCAAGGCAGUUGUGAAGGUGCUGCAUGGUUGUCGUCAGCUCGUGCCGUGAGGUGUCGGCUUAAGUGCCAUAACGAGCGCAACCCUUAUCGAUAGUUACCAUCAGGUUAUGCUGGGGACUCUGUCGAGACUGCCGUCGUAAGAUGUGAGGAAGGUGGGGAUGACGUCAAAUCAGCACGGCCCUUACGUCCGGGGCUACACACGUGUUACAAUGGGGGGUACAGCAGGCAGCUACACGGCGACGUGAUGCUAAUCCCGAAAGCCUCUCUCAGUUCGGAUUGGAGUCUGCAACCCGACUCCAUGAAGCUGGAUUCGCUAGUAAUCGCGCAUCAGCCACGGCGCGGUGAAUACGUUCCC